AAAUGAAUUGACGGGACCGCACAAGCGGUGGAUGAUGUGGUUUAAUUCGAUGCAACGCGAAAACCUUACCACCUUUGACAUGUACGGAAUCCUUUAGAGAUGAAGGAGUGCUCGAAAGAGAGCCGUAACACAGGUGCUGCAUGGCUGUCGUCAGCUCGUGUCGUGAGAUGUUGGGUUAAGUCCCGCAACGAGCGCAACCCUUGCCAUUAGUUGCUACAUUUAGUUGAGCACUCUAAUGGGACUGCCGGUGACAAACCGGAGGAAGGUGGGGAUGACGUCAAGUCCUCAUGGCCCUUAUAGGUGGGGCUACACACGUCAUACAAUGGCUGGUACAAAGGGUUGCCAACCCGCGAGGGGGAGCUAAUCCCAUAAAGCCAGUCGUAGUCCGGAUCGCAGUCUGCAACUCGACUGCGUGAAGUCGGAAUCGCUAGUAAUCGUGGAUCAGAAUGUCACGGUGAAUACGUUCCCGGGUCUU
Molecule: ribosomal RNA, 475 nt
Filed under: uncultured Comamonas sp.
Lineage: Bacteria; Pseudomonadati; Pseudomonadota; Betaproteobacteria; Burkholderiales; Comamonadaceae
Description: bacterial SSU rRNA
Rfam family: Bacterial small subunit ribosomal RNA
Source: RNAcentral